Molecule: transfer RNA, 82 nt
Filed under: Alligator sinensis (Chinese alligator)
Lineage: Eukaryota; Metazoa; Chordata; Crocodylia; Alligatoridae
Rfam family: tRNA
About the family: Transfer RNA (tRNA) molecules are approximately 80 nucleotides in length. Their secondary structure includes four short double-helical elements and three loops (D, anti-codon, and T loops).
Source: Rfam by way of RNAcentral
GCUGUGAUGGCCGAGCGCUUAAGGUGUUGGACUUGAAAUCCAAGGGGGUUUCCCCAUGCAGGUUCAAAUCCUGCUCACAGCA